RNAcentral lists this ribosomal RNA (497 nucleotides) under uncultured bacterium. RNAcentral describes it as "partial 16S ribosomal RNA". It matches the Rfam family "Bacterial small subunit ribosomal RNA", at positions 28 to 507 of the family's 1533-position model. The record is from RNAcentral.
GAUGAACGCUGGCGGCGUGCCUAAUACAUGCAAGUCGAGCGAACAGACGAGGAGCUUGCUCCUCUGACGUUAGCGGCGGACGGUUGAGUAACACGUGGAUAACCUACCUAUAAGGCUGGGAUAACUUCGGGAAACCGGAGCUAAUACCGGAUAAUAUAUUGAACCGCAUGGUUCAAUAGUGAAAGACGGUUUUGCUGUCACUUAUAGAUGGAUCCGCGCCGCAUUAGCUAGUUGGUAAGGUAACGGCUUACCAAGGCAACGAUGCGUAGCCGACCUGAGAGGGUGAUCGGCCACACUGGAACUGAGACACGGUCCAGACUCCUACGGGAGGCAGCAGUAGGGAAUCUUCCGCAAAGGGCGAAAGCUUGACGGAGCAACGCCGCGUGAGUGAUGAAGGUCUUCGGAUCGUAAAACUCUGUUAUUAGGGAAGAACAAAUGUGUAAGUAACUAUGCACGUCUUGACGGUACCUAAUCAGAAAGCCACGGCUAACUACGUG